GUGUGUGUCAGAAGAGGCUGGUAGGAGGAGCUAUUGGAGGACGGGCUCACUGUGUGUGUCAGAUGAGGCUGGUAGGAGGAGCUAUUGGAGGACGGGCUCAUUGUUAUGGCUGGAAUGGAGUAAAUGGAGCGAUAUACGACACGUCAAACAUAUGGAAACCACAUGAUUGACUCCGUUCCAUUUACGUUCCUAUAGCUCCUCCCACCAGCCUCCACGUGUGUGUGUGUUUGUGUGUGUCAAUCGCCUAACCACAGACUGUCGCUGCAGCGCAGCACCAGGCGCCCCGCAGUAACCCUAUCGUCUAAGCGCAGCCUGGACGUGCCAAAAUAUGGCCUUUCUCCCUCCUCCUUCAACUGAAUGUACUCCUGCAUAUGAAGAAUGUUUCGGUCUAUUCGUCACAAUACGAAGCAAUUCUGAGGGCGCUGUGCCCUAUGCGUCAUGUUCCAGUCACCGGUAAUGGCACGUGGCCCGCUUGGCAUUCCAGCACUGAGAAGAAGGGGAUAAAGUAACUGGGGAGUAAAUUGCUACUACUUUGAACAAUAUCCUUCACAUCCAAGUGUUUUGUAAAUGGAAAAAAAUCCUGAACACUAUUUACAAUUUUCAUUUUUUUUUUGGACCUUGUUUUCACUCUGUUCUUCUCGCACACUUCGGUGGCUCUGAGAAAGGUUCUCGGUUAACCCGAAGCUGCUAAUGUGUGUGCGAACAAAGGCAACGAUCAGCGCGCUCUGACAGGAAAGGGAAUUCAUUUUGAUUGACGUCAGAGGCGUAGGUCCUCCUUUCUCCGGAGAGAGAGAGCGCGCGAGAGAAAGAGUAAGUGUGUGUGUGCGUGUUUGCACGGACUUACACUAUAAGAGACAAGUCAAGGCCACACCACAAUGAGGCUGAAGUCACUGUACAACUUUACACUUCAAGGGUCUUUAUUGGCAUGGGGAUACACAGGUUAACAUUGCCAAAGCAAGUGAAAUAGAUAAUAAACAGAAGAGAAAUAAACAAUAAAAAUGAACAGUAAACAUUACACUCACAAAAGUUAAAAAAUAAUAGAUAGAUAAUGUCAGUCUCAGACUGAGACGAUGAAGGAGAGGUAAAGAGAGAGAGAGACUGAGACAAUGAAGGAGAGGUAAAGAGAGAGAGAGAGACUGAGACAAUGAAGGAGAGGUAAAGAGAGAGAGACUGAGACAAUGAAGGAGAGGUAAAGAGAGAGACAGACUGAGACAAUGAAGGAGAGGUAAAGAGAGAGAGAGACUGAGACAAUGAAGGUGAGAGGUAAAGAGAGAGACAGACUGAGACAAUGAAGGAGAGGUAAAGAGAGUGACAGACAGACGAUGAAGGAGAGGUAAAGAGAGAGAGAGACAGACUGAGACAAUGAAGGAGAGGUAAAGAGAGAGAGAGACUGAGACAAUGAAGGAGAGGUAAAGAGAGAGAGAGACAGACUGAGACAAUGAAGGAGAGGUAAAGAGAGUGACAGACAGACGAUGAAGGAGAGGUAAAGAGAGAGAGAGACAGACUGAGACAAUGAAGGAGAGGUAAAGAGAGAGAGAGACAGACUGAGACAAUGA
This is a long non-coding RNA of Oncorhynchus masou masou (cherry salmon), 1556 nucleotides long. RefSeq lists it as uncharacterized. The transcript is spliced from 3 exons. NCBI's taxonomy places the organism in Eukaryota, Metazoa, Chordata, Actinopteri, Salmoniformes, Salmonidae. The record is from RefSeq and is a predicted model, not a curated record.